Meriones unguiculatus (Mongolian gerbil) is the source of this 2786-nucleotide long non-coding RNA. RefSeq lists it as uncharacterized. The record is from RefSeq and is a predicted model, not a curated record. Lineage: Eukaryota; Metazoa; Chordata; Mammalia; Rodentia; Muridae. The transcript is spliced from 6 exons.
GUGGGUAGCUAGAGGUGCGGGGUUGGGCUCCUUGAGAACCACUUCCUAAGGCGUUCACGGGGAAACAGCUACAGACGGCAGAGGCAGAAGUAUUCGGCCUCAGCAUCACUGACAGGGUCUUUCCAGCGAUCAUUUCACUGCACUGCAGUGGGAUCCACCAUAAGGAAAGACCCAUGUCUCUCCAAGCCCAGGCUGGACCAGAGCCAUGUGUCAGACCUGACUCGGAGCUCGGUGAAGGCUGGCAGAGACCUCUGAGAGCGGCCGAGUCUCGCCUUGUCCAAGAGGAGCAAGGGCUUCUGGGGAUCCCAGAUUGGUUCAGCAAGCAGCUUAAUUUGCAAAGACAUCUUUCCAGCCCGUGACUAUGAGGGUGCUUUUUAAACCUCGUGUGGCUGCGGAGCUACGCGUCUAUCUUCUUGCGGCACCUCAAGGAUUUCAUGACAGGAGCGUAUAAAGUGGCAUUGGAACGCCGGGAGCCUGCUUAACAGCAAACAGCGGGCAGGAACAAGGUCUAUCCACAGGGCUUCGGUGAUAGAGAAUUAAACAGGAGGAGGCCCAGGACGUCUGGAAGCACGGGGCAAAUCCGGGACCUAACUGCCUCCCUGUAGGGUCUGCGAAGCCAACCCACAGCUCGCCUCCGGGCUCUGGGCGGAGUGCUCUCUUACCCAUCAGCUGUAGGUCGUCCGCCUUCUGCAGCACGGUAACCUUCAAGCUCUCCGAGUUAACCAUCAGAAGGUGGCCCUCUUCGCACCCAAUGUACAGGUCGCUCGUCGGAGUCCAGCAGUGCAUCGUUGGGUGAAGCAAAGGGUAGAUGUCAUCUUUGGGCUUCGGAAGAGAACAGCACCCACAUGUUAAGGCGGCCAUGAUGGUCAAGGGCCACAGAAACACCCACGAAAACAACUGCCACAAAGAAGCCAGAGGGAGCCGCCAGGGUGGACACGUGAGCUCUUCAUUUUCAACAUCAGUGGCAAUUCUCUUUCCUCCGUUUUUUUUUUUUUUUUUCUCUCUCUAUGUAUAUAUUAUUUCACUACGAACAACUAAGGCUCUCCUGCUAAUGUGUUCAGAGGUCUCUUGUCACAGAUUCUGAUGCCCCUUUUGGCAACUUGAGUCCUUGAUUGGCUACAAACACCCCCCUUUUCAGGAAAGACUGUCACUAGCGUCUUGUCUUUUGGUCCUACAAAGGUCAGCUUGGGAUCUCUGCUUAGCUGGCUGUCAAAGGCAAUGAGAUGACCUUUGGCCUAACUCUACAGCUCCUCUAACGUGGUUCAUGAUCACUCCAAGUGCCUUCGAUACAAUAGAGGGAAUCAGAAUCGCUUUAGCACUGUUCAGCAAGGAGGGGCCGUCUCCUGUCAGCACGGGAUCUGACUCCAGAGCCUCCUCCCAGUGAGCCUCGGAGGGACCCUCCUCCCCAAGAAAGAAGGAAAGGAUCAAAGGAAAAGAAAAGAAAGCCACUACCAACCAACCAAAGGGACUAGACUGUCACCUGUGAGUGGCUUUUCUGUGGGAUCUGCCUGAGACCUGACUCAUCAGGAAAAGAGAUGCUCACUGAAGCAUAAUAUUGAAACCCAGCUGAGCAGUUCUGAUGACAUCUGACAGACUACACAUCACAGAAAGACUUUAUGGCACAGGGAGUUGUUGUUCAAUACCGAUGCUGUCUGCUGGUUUGGCUUAACCUCUGCUCGCUUGCCCAAGGCUGGGGCCACAAAAUUAAGCUGAGGACAUCUUAAACACGGAGCAUGGUCAAAGUCCACACAGUUCCCAAUUCCCGACUGAAUUGUGUUUUCAUUACGGUGUCCUCAUCUGAGAAGAACAAAGACCAGGUUCUCCAGAGACAACACGUGAACUUUGGUGACGGUGCCAAAUGACCAGACACCUGUCUGGCCCAUGUGCAACCACGGCCUGUCAAGAUCACGCUUCCUGACCACGCUCAUGUGGACUUGCACUGUUAGCUUUGUUUGAGGCAGGGUCUCGCUUUUAUCAAGUUGUGUUACAUGGAGGCAGCUCUCAUUAGACAGAGGGGACACGCAGCAACCUUGUGUGGAGGUUGGCUGUACCUGUGAGUGUUCAACAGUAACACAACCGAUAGUGACCACAAAUGAGGGCUUGAGGUGUGUGUGUGUGCACGUGUGUGUGUCUGUGAGAGUGUGUGCAUGCGUGCGUGCGUGUGUGUGUGUGCAUGCACGUGUGUCUGUGAGAGUGUGUGUGUGCGUGCGUGCGUGCGUGCGUGCGUGUGUGCUCUUGUGUGUAUUUCUCUAGGGUCACCACAAACUUAACAUUAGGCACUAGCUUGUGUUUAAAAACAGUGAGGUUCAGACUUGUCAAUUACCCAAGCACCUGUUUGUGUUAAAAUUGCAAUAAAACACUAGGAAAGAAAAAAAAAAUAUAUGGUCCCAGAAAAGGUCAGUUCUCUAACCCUGAGUUUCUCAUUGUUUAAUACUCAUGAAUCACCUGAGAAAUCUUGUUAAAACUAAAGGGUUGGUUUGGUAGGUCUCCGGUGGGAGCCAAUUUGUGUGUGUAUGAGUGUGUGUAUGUGUGUGUUGUUGUGGGUUUGUUGUUGUUGUUGUUUGUUUGUUUGUUUGAAGGAGCAGUUGUUUUCUUCUAACUUGCCUUGUCUGGUUUCCAGAUCCUGGGCCUAAAUGAGCUUUUUCAGCCACUAAGUUUCCGGGUCCACAGGGCCGGAAAGGCGUAUACGUGGAUGAUGGGCCUUAGCCUGCGGUCAGAGAAAGCCACAACCUCACCAGAAACGUUAGUUGCCACGAUGCCCACAAUCCCAUUAAUACACUGGAGGA